GUCUUGAAACACGGACCAAGGAGUCUAACAUGUGCGCGAGUCAUUGGGACUGCGAAACCUAAAGGCGAAAUGAAAGUGAAGGUCGUACUAAGGUCGACCGAGGGAGGAUGGGCCGCGUUUACGCGCGGCUCCGCACUCCCGGGGCGUCUCGUUCUCAUUGCGAGAAGAGGCGCACCCAGAGCGUACACGUUGGGACCCGAAAGAUGGUGAACUAUGCCUGGUCAGGACGAAGUCAGGGGAAACCCUGAUGGAGGUCCGUAGCGAUUCUGACGUGCAAAUCGAUCGUCGGAACUGGGUAUAGGGGCGAAAGACUAAUCGAACCAUCUAGUAGCUGGUUCCCUCCGAAGUUUCCCUCAGGAUAGCUGGCACUCGUUCGUUCUUAUUGAACGUAAACGAGUCUCAUCUGGUAAAGCGAAUGAUUAGAGGCCUUGGGGCCGAAACGACCUCAACCUAUUCUCAAACUUUAAAUGGGUGAGAUCUCUGGCUUGCUUGAACUAUGAAGCCACGAGAGAUAUUAUAUUACGGAUCAGAGAGCCAAGUGGGCCAUUUUU
This 551-nucleotide ribosomal RNA is filed under the name Polistes sagittarius. RNAcentral describes it as "eukaryotic LSU rRNA". It matches the Rfam family "Eukaryotic large subunit ribosomal RNA", at positions 651 to 1138 of the family's 3401-position model. The record is from RNAcentral. Lineage: Eukaryota; Metazoa; Arthropoda; Insecta; Hymenoptera; Vespidae.